This is a long non-coding RNA of Helianthus annuus (common sunflower), 5703 nucleotides long. RefSeq lists it as uncharacterized. The record is from RefSeq and is a predicted model, not a curated record. The transcript is spliced from 5 exons. NCBI's taxonomy places the organism in Eukaryota, Viridiplantae, Streptophyta, Magnoliopsida, Asterales, Asteraceae.
CCCCGAAAACAGGUUUGGAAAUUAAACCCCGUUAAUACUAAAGACGGGGAAAGUACCGUUAGCGGUAAAAGUAAACCGGAAAAUAUUAGGAAUCAAGUGAAUAAUCCUAAUAUUAAUUAAAAGUGAAUAAAAGCUUCCAGGAAAAUAGAAUGGAUAAAAUGCCCGAUUUAACGGGACUUAAAAUAAAACGGGUUUUAACUCCCGGAACCCACUAAGUUAACUAGGUAAAAUUAACCUAGUUAGUAAUGAGUAACUAAACAAUAAACUAUGGGUUAUAGUUUCAUUUAUGAAUCUCUAAACUUGAGGGGCUAAACAUGGGCAACUAGAGAAGUGUUUUAUUAAAACACUUAAAUAAAAAAAAAACACACACAUACAUGUGUGUACGUAUGCGAUCAGAAGAAGGAGCCAGGAGAGCUCAAACCCUAGUUCAACAAAUCCUCCAAAUCGAAGCUCAAAUCAAGCCCGAAUCGUCUGCAUGAUUACAAAUUCGUGAUCGCCUAGUCGUGGGGAUCAUAAGCUGACUCUAAACAAGCUAGGUGGGAGCUUGAAAAGGAACGGGUCAAACGGAUCAUGGAUGCGAAGAAUGUUUGCGCGGACGCAAGGGUAAAACGGCUUAUGGAAUUUACGUGGCUAUGAAUCAGCAAAUUAUUAAGGCAAGGUAUUAAAACGGGUCAAUACUUUGACCCGCGCCAGGUACGUGUAAAUUUGGUGGAAGAUAUGUGAAUACCUUAAUGUAGAAAAAUGACAUGUGAAAGUAGAGAGUGGGAUUUAAACUUAAAUGAUUAAAUUCUCUCUAACGGGUCAAAAUAUGCAUUUAAGCGUAGACGGGUCAAAAUCUUGUAAAAAGGUAAUAAGCCGAAUGCAUAAAAGUCUCAAAAUUUAUUAAGCCGGAUGUCGGACUUUAACUCCAUAUGAUGGAGAAUCAAAUUACAAACAUGUAGGAAGAAAUGGUAGGUCAAACGGACAAGCAAAUUUAAAGAUAGGAAAGAUUUCGUGUCAAUUACGGCAAAAUGGAAAGGCUGAAUGCAGGGGCCACCGUAACUUACGGUGCCACCGUAAGUUACGGUGGAGCUGAAUUAUUUACGGUGGUUGCCUACUGUUGUGCGGUAGGAAAAUUUUAUUACAGAGGGCACCGUAACUUACAGUGCCACCGUAAGUUACGGUGGAGGUCAUUUUCAAAUUUUUGUUUUUGGAAUCAAUGGUUUCUCGGACUCGUUUGGACACGUUUUAAAGCCCGUAAGACUAAAGCAUUUCAUGUUUAUGAAAUGUAGGUACAUUUUGGAUGCCAGAAGACGAUCAAGCUCGACGAAGGACCGAACACGAUAUAGAUACAUGCUUCCGCACUUUAACACUUUGCAAAUUUUAAACAACGAAUUCAACCACGUUAUGUAGAAUAACUUAUGAAUUGUAAAAGUUUUAAUAAAUUCGUAUUUUUAUAGUAUGUGUAGGCUUAACUACACAUCUAAUUGUUGGCGUUUACAUAUAAAAUUGUUAAUUAGUAACUAGGGUGUUACAAGUUGGUAUCAGAGCCCUGGUUUAAGAGAUUCAAGUAUGGUGGGGAAAACCAUGCUUGGACUUAAACCUUAUGCUCUUGACAAAGAUUGGUGUUCGGUUCGAGGCUUGAUCGCAAAUCCGGUAAGUACAUCUAUGCUAAUAGUUUAGCAUGCUAAAGUGUUGUAAACAACACAUGGGGUUAUCGUGUGAUACACGUUACCUCAAUUAAGCGAUAAAUGUAGUUGACAAAGUUACGCGUGUUGACACAUAUAGUACAAAAGUCUUGUAUUAUGAUACGGGCAUUUAGUAAAGUUGACAUUACUAACUUUUGUGAAUGUCUUGAUUGAAGGACACUUGCGUUUAAAGAUGACAAAGGUUAAACAAAUUAAAGAUGUGAUAGAGGAACAGUCCGAGGCAUGACGAGAGGAACAUGCUCACUAAGGACUAAAUCGCGUAAAGACCGCGAACAAGGUUAAUGGCAAGAAACGCCCGUCGGGGCAAGCAUUAUCAGGUGCGUGCUUUUAAAUAUAAUUAGCAAUGUGCAACAAACAUGUAAAGAAUGAUUGUCGCAUAUGUAAAUUAGAAACUUGGGAAACCUGAAUAGAAUGCCUAUCCAGGAUAUUAUCUCCAAGAAAACUAAAUAGAGGUGUUACUUACAUGGGGUGUGAUGUGAAAACUAUAAAAAGGUCGUGUAUGUCAUGUGUUAAUCGCUUACUCUGGCCAAGUAAGUAGUGGCAUAUGAUACCAUGAGUUUCUUAUAGCAGAGACAUUAUAUCUGAUGGAGUAAGGACGGGGUAAAUGGGACAAAUUAAAAGUACCCAAAAGAAUCAAGUGAGCAAAAUAUUUGAUAAUAAUGUAAACGCACAGCCGAGUGACGGAAGCGUAUUACAUUAAGAUAAUGAGCCCGAGUGAAGGGACAAAGAAACACGUAAGAUGAUCAGAAUACGUAUUGGGAGGAGGUGUACUUACACUCGAACCCGGAAAAUGCAAACAUGUAAAAUGAUGUAGACAUGUAUUGGGAGGGGGUGUACUUACACUCGAACCCGAAGAAUAUAAACAUGUAAAAUGAUCAAGAUAUGCAUUGGGAGGUAGUGUACUUACACUCAAACCCGAAGAAUGCAAAUAAGACUCUUAACGGGCCGAUUUUGUAAAACACCAAAUUUGAGAACAAAGUAGGAAUAUAAAAGCGAAACAAAGUCAUAAUGCAUACCGUAAGGGUUGCAAUAAUAACGACUUCGGUAAAACACCCGGUUGGUGGGUAAGGAUUUAAACACAUGCGUAGACUGAGAAACAGGAACGCGCAUGGAAAGUCAAAAGACUCGGGUUUUGGGUCAUGACCAAAGGACGAUAAGAUAACGGCAAAUAGAAAUUUUGAUGAAUUACGCUCAACUAUUUUAAAGUUGAACGGGUCGAACAAAGAUUGAAGUUUGACAUCUAUAAGUGAUGAAAUUUUCACACGAACAAGUCAAACAAAAUUUAAAAAAGGAUGACUCGUGCUAAAGUAAGUAAGCGCGAAUCGAAUAAAAAAAAAGUGCGAAAUAUUAGUAAACCUAUGUAAAGGAGUUAAAGGUGUUAAAAACAUUAGAAUAAAAGAACCCGGGUAAUGGGACGUAAAGAAGUAUAGGUAAGAACCGGUUAACAGUAAGUGUAGGGCAAACCGACGUGUAAUUGACGUUAGAAGUCAAGGAGUCGGAAGGAUAAUUCGAAAGAAAACAAUGUAGCCUUAGACUACGGUCAAGGUCAAACGAAAUCCAAAAAGUAAAGGUGAAUAAUUCUAAAACAUAAGAGGGGGUGCCUUAAUGCCAUAUGCGUAUAUAAAUGUAUACAUAUUUGAAUAAAGACUUGAAUAAAAGAUGAUCUACGGGAUCAUCAUAACCUGCGGGAUAUGAAUUUAAAGCAAAAGGAUCAUAAGGGUCUCACCUUAAAGAGGUGAAAACAUAAGGAAAUAGCCUACGAGGUUAAGUGAAGGAACCUACGGGUCAAUAGUGUAAGGUGAGGGAAUUUGUUAUGAUUCCCCGCAUAAAGUAAGAACGGAAAACAAUAAAUUAUGAGUUAUCAAUUUCCUUGAUAUGGAUAAUUGACAAAAGUUAAAAGGAAAAUGCUAAACUAAAACUCCGGUUUUUGCAAGAAAUGACGUUUUUCGAAUAUGAAUUCUGAUAGACGAAUAUGUAAUAGGCAUGAAAGAUAUAAGUCUUGACACUGAUAAGUGCAAGACGAUACAUUUGAAAAGAAAGGUUGGAAUAGACCUAAACAUGACGUGACGCGAUCACGGACAAGAGAAGUAAUGUGAAGUAAUCAUAUUAUGACCCGAGUGAUGGGUACAAAGUAACUGGACUGAUAAGUCUAGUUAGUGAGAUCGGUUAAGGUCGAAACCCAAAUUAAGAAAUUGUUUAACACGUUAUUCACUACGAAGAGUAAUGUAGAAUAAACAUAAUUUAUAAACCUGUGUGACUAAGUGGCCAACGUUUGGCGACUCGGUCAAGUAAACAACAAAGGUGUAUAGAUCCAAGAGAUAAAGUGACGGCCCAUGAGACCUCACUAACAGAAAAUAUUGAUCACUUAUUUGAGGGAUCAUAAAGCUAUAAGUUCAUGAACAAAAGAAUAGUUGCUAAAAGUUAAAGAUUUCACCAAGGACCUUAAAACGGUCAAAACGACGGAUUCAUAAAUAAUUUGAUAGUAUAUGAAAGCGAUGAAUAUCACUAAGUUAACCGGACUAGUGGAAAUAACGAGAUUACGUUAUUUCAAGAUUGCACUAUGUAGUAUGAGAUACGUAGACAAUUAGUAACCAAAAGGAUAUUGCCAUACUUUUCUGGUAAUACUAACAAUUGGUCAAAGUAAAAGUAACGUUUAAAAGAUUUCUCGGAUCAAAUGCAUUGAGUUUGAACUCGAUGAAUUAAGCAAGAAAAGGUUUCGAGGACGAAACCUCUUUAAGGGGGUAGACUUGUAACACCCCGAAAACAGGUUUGGAAAUUAAACCCCGUUAAUACUAAAGACGGGGAAAGUACCGUUAGCGGUAAAAGUAAACCGGAAAAUAUUAGGAAUCAAGUGAAUAAUCCUAAUAUUAAUUAAAAGUGAAUAAGAGCUUCCAGGAAAAUAGAAUGGAUAAAAUGCCCGAUUUAACGGGACUUAAAAUAAAACGGGUUUUAACUCCCGGAACCCACUAAGUUAACUAGGUAAAAUUAACCUAGUUAGUAAUGAGUAACUAAAUAAUAAACUAUGGGUUAUAGUUUCAUUUAUGAAUCUCUAAACUUGAGGGGCUAAACAUGGGCAACUAGAGAAGUGUUUUAUUAAAACACUUAAAUAAAAAAAAACACACAUACAUGUGUGUACGUAUGCGAUCAGAAGAAGGAGCCAGGAGAGCUCAAACCCUAGUUCAACAAAUCCUCCAAAUCGAAGCUCAAAUCAAGCCCGAAUCGUCUGCAUGAUUACAAAUUCGUGAUCGCCUAGUCGUGGGGAUCAUAAGCUGACUCUAAACAAGCUAGGUGGGAGCUUGAAAAGGAACGGGUCAAACGGAUCAUGGAUGCGAAGAAUGUUUGCGCGGACGCGAGGGUAAAACGGCUUAUGGAAUUUACGUGGCUAUGAAUCAGCAAAUUAUUAAGGCAAGGUAUUAAAACGGGUCAAUACUUUGACCCGCGCCAGGUACGCGUAAAUUUGGUGGAAGAUAUGUGAAUACCUUAAUGUAGAAAAAUGACAUGUGAAAGUAGAGAGUGGGAUUUAAACUUAAAUGAUUAAAUUCUCUCUAACGGGUCAAAAUAUGCAUUUAAGCGUAGACGGGUCAAAAUCUUGUAAAAACGUAAUAAGCCGAAUGCAUAAAAGUCUCAAAAUUUAUUAAGCCGGAUGUCGGACUUUAACUCCAUAUGAUGGAGAAUCAAAUUACAAACAUGUAGGAAGAAAUGGUAGGUCAAACGGACAAGCGAAUUUAAAGAUACGAAAGAUUUCGUGUCAAUUACGGCAAAAUGGAAAGGCUGAAUGCAGGGGCCACCGUAACUUACGGUGCCACCGUAAGUUACGGUGGAGCUGAAUUAUUUACGGUGGUUGCCUACUGUUGUACGGUAGGAAAAUUUUAUUAGAGAGGCCACCGUAACUUACGGUGCCACCGUAAGUUACGGUGGAGGUCAUUUUCAAAUUUUUGUUUUUGGAAUCAAUGGUUUCCCGGACUCGUUUGGACACGUUUUAAAGCCCGUAAGACUAAAGCAUUUCAUGUUUAUG